RNAcentral lists this ribosomal RNA (255 nucleotides) under uncultured bacterium. Its description in RNAcentral is "partial 16S ribosomal RNA". It matches the Rfam family "Bacterial small subunit ribosomal RNA", at positions 524 to 776 of the family's 1533-position model. The record is from RNAcentral.
GACGUAGGGCGCGAGCGUUGUCCGGAUUUAUUGGGCGUAAAGAGCUCGUAGGCGGCUUGUCGCGUCGUUCGUGAAAACCCCGGGGGCUCAACUCCGGGCUUGCGGGCGAUACGGGCAGGCUAGAGUUCGGUAGGGGAGACUGGAAUUCCUGGUGUAGCGGUGAAAUGCGCAGAUAUCAGGAGGAACACCGGUGGCGAAGGCGGGUCUCUGGGCCGAUACUGACGCUGAGGAGCGAAAGCGUGGGGAGCGAACAGG